This 507-nucleotide ribosomal RNA is filed under the name Taharana sp. Hm022090. Its description in RNAcentral is "partial large subunit ribosomal RNA". The record is from RNAcentral. Lineage: Eukaryota; Metazoa; Arthropoda; Insecta; Hemiptera; Cicadellidae.
UUCUUUAUGAUUAUUAUGUAAAGUAAUUUCUGCCCAAUGAUUUUUUAAAUGGCUGCAGUAUAUUGACUGUACAAAGGUAGCAUAAUAAUUAGUUUUUUAAUUGGGAACUUGAAUGAAAGGAUAAAUGAGAAAUUAUCUUUAUUAAUUUUAAUAUUAAAAUUUAAAUUUUUGGUUAAAAGGCCAAAUUUUGUUUUAGGGACGAUAAGACCCUAUAGAAUUUAUAAUUUUAUAUUAGUUAUAAUUUGUUUUAGAUUAAUUUUAUUUGAUUAAUUUUAAUUUUUAAUUGGGGUGAUUAAUAAAUUUUAGACUUUAUUUUUUUUAUUCAUUUAUUUAUGUUUAUUUAGAUCCUUAUAAAAGAUUGUAAGAUAAAUUACCUUAGGGAUAACAGCGUAAUUUUAAUGGAAAGUUCAUAUUUAAAUUAGAGUUUGCGACCUCGAUGUUGAAUUAAGAUUAAUUUUUGGUGAAGGAGCUUUAAUUAUAAGUCUGUUCGACUUUUAUAAUCUUACA